GUUGGUGGCUGCACAUGCAACUAUAUUUAUGGUAAGACUAUCAGCCAAUUGUAUCCCAUGGGAUUGUAAAUCGUACUCUAUUUUUUAUUCCUUAUUGUUUACCCUGCCAAACCACCAAUUAUACCCGAGGUAGCAAUAGGGAAUUUUUCGCAAUUGGCAAAAGCUUGACGGAGCAAUGCCGCAUGGAGGUAGAAGACCCAUGGUUCGUAAAUCUUUUUUUCUCAGAGAAAAAGCAAUUAUGGUAUCUGAGGAAUAAGCAUUGGCGAACUAUGUGCCAAUAGCCAUGAUAAGACAAAGGAUGCAAGC
This 306-nucleotide non-coding RNA is filed under the name Amborella trichopoda. Its description in RNAcentral is "Bacterial small subunit ribosomal RNA". It matches the Rfam family "Bacterial small subunit ribosomal RNA", at positions 284 to 539 of the family's 1533-position model. Lineage: Eukaryota; Viridiplantae; Streptophyta; Magnoliopsida; Amborellales; Amborellaceae. The record is from Rfam by way of RNAcentral.